UUGAGUGGUUGGAUGUGGGGGUUUGCUGGCCUUGUAAAGGGUUCAGCUCCCCUGAAAUGCAUUAGCAGAACAACCCUGUUCAUUGGUGUGAUAACUAUCUACGCUAUUGAAUGUAAGGGGCAGUUCAGCUUUCUAACAGUCCUCGGACAAUUCAUCAUUAAUGUGACCUCAAAUCAGGUAGGACUACCCGCUGAACUUAA
RNAcentral lists this unclassified non-coding RNA (200 nucleotides) under soil metagenome. Its description in RNAcentral is "partial contains internal transcribed spacer 2 and large subunit ribosomal RNA". The record is from RNAcentral.